This 253-nucleotide ribosomal RNA is filed under the name uncultured bacterium. Its description in RNAcentral is "partial 16S ribosomal RNA". It matches the Rfam family "Bacterial small subunit ribosomal RNA", at positions 524 to 776 of the family's 1533-position model. The record is from RNAcentral.
UACAGAGGUCUCAAGCGUUGUUCGGAUUCAUUGGGCGUAAAGGGUGCGUAGGGGGGGCGGUAAGUCGGGUGUGAAAUCUCGGGGCUUAACUCCGAAACUGCAUUCGAUACUGCCGUGCUUGAGGACUGGAGAGGAGACUGGAAUUUACGGUGUAGCGGUGAAAUGCGUAGAUAUCGUAAGGAAGACCAGUGGCGAAGGCGGGUCUCUGGACAGUUCCUGACGCUGAGGCACGAAGGUCAGGGGAGCAAACGGG